This is a long non-coding RNA of Poecile atricapillus (Black-capped chickadee), 1459 nucleotides long. RefSeq lists it as uncharacterized. The record is from RefSeq and is a predicted model, not a curated record. The transcript is spliced from 4 exons. NCBI's taxonomy places the organism in Eukaryota, Metazoa, Chordata, Aves, Passeriformes, Paridae.
CCUGGUCCUGGGCACUGCCAGGGUGUCCAAGCCCCCAGGAAAACUCUCCAGACAUCAAUUUGUUUUCUGCAGAUGCAUCAGGAGGGAACAGCAGAAGUGACUCCAAAACCACGGUCUGGGAACAAGCUGAAAUGUCUCCUGGAGGAAUGCAGACAAUAUUCCCAGAGGAGGAGGAGCUGGAAGCCCCUUCUGUGCAAGGUCUGCUGUGCCCCUUUGGGUGUUUCGAGCUCUGUCCACCUGUCUGUCCCCUCAUUAGCAGCAGAGAUGUUUGUAAUUAGGAGCAGGGUGGCUCUGUUUUCUCCACAUGGAUCAAAAUGCAGCUAAGACAAAACUGAACAGAAAAUCUCCAAGUGUCUCCAGGGACUGUGGCACUGGAAGGGGAGGAGCAGCAUCACCUCUUUGCAGUUCUGAGGGUGCUGUGUGAUGUUUAAGGCUUCCAAUGAUGCCCAAACACCACCUGACAAACCCAGGCAGGGAUGUUUUCUGUGUUAUGGAGAGAUCUCUGUUCCACUGAGGCGUUUUGGGCAUGGAGAUGCUCUUUUGGUAUUUUUUUUGCCAGCUGGGUGUGCAACAGGAUGAGCAGGAGCAGGACCUGCAGGAAUUGCAGCUUUGGGAAGGGCAGGACCAGCCCCCUGAGGCUCCCCAAGGCAGGCGAGGCUGGGGAAGCUGCCUGGAAAUGCCCCAGGGAGUUCCUGCCAGGGAUGGGAACAGAACAUCCCGAGCCUCACACUUGUGCUUCAACAGCAGCUUUUUGUCUUCCAGCUCAAAAGGAAAUGCAUCAUUUGUGAGCUUCACACCAAACUGGGAUUGCAAAGGUGCACGUGGAUAUUUGGUUUACCACAAAAUCCACCCUGGCAACUCAAGGCAAAGCAUCCUGGCAGGUCUGAGCUGCUUUCUGAAAGGUUCGAGAGAAAUGAGCUGUGUGAUUUCAUUUGUAGAAAAGUCUUUUGAUAGAGUUUGGUAAUCAGAGAUGGACUCGGGGAUUUGGAGGCUUUCCCCAGCCUUAAUGAUUCUAUGAUAUUGAACAGAAAUUCCCAAUUCACUUCUCUGCUUUGUAGGGAUAAGGAGAUGGAAAUAGUUAAUAAUUUUGAAUAAAAUUAACUUUCCUUUAGCAAAACAAACAGCAACAAAAAGCUGUGGUAAUUCUCUUGCAGCUUUCCAAAGCAAUUAUGCUGUAAUGACUGCUGAAGAGAUUUUCGUGUUGUUUCAAACACUGGUUGGAACAACUGGAAGCUACAAAUUUUUUCUCAUUGUGACUUUAUUAUCUGAAAGGAAAUGACUAAUUUGGAGUUGGUUAUUAUUGUUUUAUAGCCCAUGAAAUAUAAGUAUCUAAGUAAACAUUUCCAUGAAUUUAAAUAUUUAAUACACAAAAUGUGAAAUACAUAAGCCCUCGGCUUCUGAGCCAGAUUUUACUGUAUUACUAUUAUUAUAUUUAUGCCAGAAAAUAAAUGUUCUCUCU